GGAGGAUCAUUAUCGUAGGGCUUCGGCCCUGUCGAGAUAGAACCCUUGCCUUUUUGAGUACCUUUCGUUUCCUCGGCAGGCUCGCCUGCCAAUGGGGACCACAAAAAACACUUUGCAGUACCUGUAACAGUCUGAACAAACAAAACAAAAAUUAAAACUUUCAACAACGGAUCUCUUGGUUCUGGCAUCGAUGAAGAACGCAGCGAAAUGCGAUAAGUAGUGUGAAUUGCAGAAUUCAGUGAAUCAUCGAAUCUUUGAACGCACAUUGCGCCCUUUGGUAUUCCUUAGGGCAUGCCUGUUCGAGCGUCAUUUAAACCUUCAAGCUAAGCUUGGUGUUGGGUGACUGUCCGCUUCACUGCGGACUCGCCUCAAAAUUAUUGGCGGCCGGUACAUUGGCUUCGAGCGCAGCAGAAACGCGAACUCGGGCCCGUCGUAUUGGCUCCCAGAAGCUAUCUUCACAAUUUUGACCUCGGAUCAGGUAGGGAUACCCGCUGAACUUAAGCAUAUCAAUAAGCGGAGAA
Molecule: ribosomal RNA, 521 nt
Filed under: uncultured Pleosporales
Lineage: Eukaryota; Fungi; Ascomycota; Dothideomycetes; Pleosporales
Description: eukaryotic LSU rRNA
Rfam family: 5.8S ribosomal RNA (bases 156-309)
Source: RNAcentral